RNAcentral lists this transfer RNA (75 nucleotides) under Candidatus Flexifilum breve. RNAcentral's name for it is "tRNA-Met". It matches the Rfam family "tRNA". From Rfam's summary of the family: Transfer RNA (tRNA) molecules are approximately 80 nucleotides in length. Their secondary structure includes four short double-helical elements and three loops (D, anti-codon, and T loops). Lineage: Bacteria; Bacillati; Chloroflexota; Anaerolineae; Aggregatilineales; Candidatus Flexifilaceae. The record is from RNAcentral.
GGGGGCGUAUUUCAAUGGCAGAAAAACGAUCUCAUAAAUCGUAAGUUGCCCGUUCGAAUCGGGCCGCCCCCACCA